This 242-nucleotide signal recognition particle RNA is filed under the name chicken gut metagenome. Its description in RNAcentral is "Bacterial large signal recognition particle RNA". It matches the Rfam family "Bacterial large signal recognition particle RNA". From Rfam's summary of the family: The signal recognition particle (SRP) is a universally conserved ribonucleoprotein involved in the co-translational targeting of proteins to membranes. The record is from RNAcentral.
AGCCGGGGAAGCAGCGGCUCCCUGUACCUGCAAUCCGCUAUAGCAGGGGUGAUAUCCUUUCCGAGGAUGACUGUCUGUAGGGCUGCCCUUCAUAAGUGGCGUUGAAGUCUGGGUCUUACGCAACAGGAAUCUGUGAACCGUGUCAGGUCAGGAAUGGAGCAGCACUAAGCAGAAGCUCCUGUGUGCCGUGAGGGCGCCUGGACGGAGCUAACUGUGGAGGUAACGCUUAUGGGCAGCAUACG